UUACCUAGGCUAUCUAAAUCUACCUAUAAU
This 30-nucleotide small RNA is filed under the name Bombyx mori (domestic silkworm). Its description in RNAcentral is "ovarian small RNA-36488". The record is from RNAcentral. Lineage: Eukaryota; Metazoa; Arthropoda; Insecta; Lepidoptera; Bombycidae.